GACGAACGCUGGCGGCGUGCCUAACACAUGCAAGUCGAGCGAAGUGACUUGGAGCGAAGUUUUCGGACUGAGCGAAGAGUCAUCUUAGCGGCGGACGGGUGAGUAACGCGUGAGAAACCUGCCUUUCACAAAGGGAUAGCCUCGGGAAACUGGGAUUAAUACCUUAUGACACUUUAACCUCGCAUGAGGAAUAAGUUAAAGCGUAGAGCGGUGAAAGAUGGUCUCGCGUCCUAUUAGCUAGUUGGUGAGGUAACGGCUCACCAAGGCUGCGAUAGGUAGCCGGCCUGAGAGGGUGAACGGCCACACUGGAACUGAGACACGGUCCAGACUCCUACGGGAGGCAGCAUG
This 348-nucleotide ribosomal RNA is filed under the name uncultured bacterium. RNAcentral describes it as "bacterial SSU rRNA". It matches the Rfam family "Bacterial small subunit ribosomal RNA", at positions 28 to 355 of the family's 1533-position model. The record is from RNAcentral.